RNAcentral lists this small RNA (1782 nucleotides) under Theobroma cacao (cacao). RNAcentral's name for it is "sRNA Tc05v2_g019740". The record is from RNAcentral. Lineage: Eukaryota; Viridiplantae; Streptophyta; Magnoliopsida; Malvales; Malvaceae.
UGGAAAGAUAUCCACACUCUUUGUUGAAGUUGGAAUGCAUCUCUUUAAUUGUUGAUAGUGUUUAUUUGAGCAGCCAACAGAUACUACAUGCUGGUGCAUAAGACUCAGUUAAGUUUAGUCUUAUUUCUUAUGUUGCAGUAAGUUAUUGUUAGUUAUCCUACUUGGCACAUGUUAGUCUACCACUUAGAAUUAUGGAUCAGUUAUCUAUUGAGUUCACUUAGUGGGUAGUUGUCAGUUUCUAAUUUCAUGUCUUAUGGUCUUUUUUCUAUUUCCUGUACUUAAGCUUUAAGUAGCAACCGAUAGGAAUGAAGAUGUUGUUCUGUUUUUUCAUCACUUGGCUGCUCUUAAGCAUUCUCUUCACUCUCCUUCAUUUUCCCUCACUUUAUUUUUUGAAAGUUCAACACUAAAAAUUUUGAAGAGAGCUAAAACGAGGUCAGAAACAGAGAGAGGGAGGAGCUACAACAUAAAAGAAGGUACCAAGAAAGUUACUCAGUCUUUUCAUCUAAUUUAGCCUCUAUUUGCAGACAAUUUGUAUGGAAAUCUACUGUUUCUUCUGGGACGUGUGAGGAUAGAGCAACACUGUGACUUACUUAGAACAAGGUUCCCAAAAAUUACUACUAAUUAACUUCUUCUCUAUUGGAAUUUGUUAAUUAGCCACUAAGGAAGUUGAUUUGCGUGCAAGAUGCAACUUUGAUCCGGAGGGCAAAUUCUACAGUAAGGUCAUGAGUUUUGUCUGAAAGAUUGCAUUGGGUGAUCUCAACUUUCAUUCAAAAGUGAAAAUUCGCAGAAGUAACACUUUUGCUUGCAUUUACCAUUGACUAUCAAACAGUUGAAACUUCUGAGUGCAGGAAGGGGUGGAAACAACCAUUACUGGAAGAAAACUAAUUUCUCCGCAGAUAUUCAGAGGAUGUGCAUAAGACUACGGAAAGACACACGAAGGGUGAAACAUUUCUGGAAGCCAUCGUUAUCAUCAACUUGUUUGAUCCUGGGAACCCAUUGCAAGACUUUGAAAUUAUAUUCUUUUCCCAGGACUUUCUCCAGAUAUUUUCUGGGAAAUCCACUGAAGCAUUCAACUCAUCUAGAAUGGUGGAACGUGGUCCAUCUUGUAAAGCAGAAUUAAGUGCUAGAUUAUUGAAAGAUGUAAAAUGACCCAUAGUUCCAACAAUCAUAGAGUGUUGGAGUCUAUUGGUUGCAGAACAACAUGUGGUCGUGUAUACAAGGGAAAGAAAAUGCCUGGCAGGAUGGGAGGAAGCAAAAGAAAGAUCUGAAAGCUCAAGAUUGUGAACACUGACAAUUCAAGUUGUGAUGAUCAAAGGCGCUGUCCUUGGUAAGCCAGGAAAUCUGCUAUGUAUAACUCCACGUAAGAUUGUUGGAAGAACAUAACAACGAACUAGCUUCAUGUAUUGUGAUUUGUUUGAUUUUGGUUCUGCAUCAUUGCAACUAUGUUGUAUGGAGCUUCAUGUAGUAUGGAGUUUGCAUAAUUCAAUGGCGCUCCUGGCUUUGAAAGGAUGAACAGGGCUGCUGAUAUUGUGUUUAAUGCAAUGUGCACAGGUAGGCAUGUGGUGUGCAACUAUGUUGGAAGUGUUGUUAGAUACACUUGAUUGAUUGAUUGAUUGUUGUUUUGAUACUCAGGUGGAUUGUUGAACUAGGGUUAUUUGUUGUCGAGAACAUUUUAUAUCCUCCCACUCGAUAGUUUGCAGCAAGGCAUUGUAACUUGAAUUGAAACAAUUUGAUUUUGUUAUAUGAAAUUUAUAAAUGAAAGGCACCUCAGGUCUUUAAACA